This 2558-nucleotide ribosomal RNA is filed under the name Escherichia coli. RNAcentral describes it as "partial 23S ribosomal RNA". It matches the Rfam family "Bacterial large subunit ribosomal RNA", at positions 334 to 2875 of the family's 2925-position model. The record is from RNAcentral. Lineage: Bacteria; Pseudomonadati; Pseudomonadota; Gammaproteobacteria; Enterobacterales; Enterobacteriaceae.
GGAAGCGUCUGGAAAGGCGCGCGAUACAGGGUGACAGCCCCGUACACAAAAAUGCACAUAUUGUGAGCUCGAUGAGUAGGGCGGGACACGUGGUAUCCUGUCUGAAUAUGGGGGGACCAUCCUCCAAGGCUAAAUACUCCUGACUGACCGAUAGUGAACCAGUACCGUGAGGGAAAGGCGAAAAGAACCCCGGCGAGGGGAGUGAAAAAGAACCUGAAACCGUGUACGUACAAGCAGUGGGAGCCUCUUUAUGGGGUGACUGCGUACCUUUUGUAUAAUGGGUCAGCGACUUAUAUUCUGUAGCAAGGUUAACCGAAUAGGGGAGCCGAAGGGAAACCGAGUCUUAACUGGGCGUUAAGUUGCAGGGUAUAGACCCGAAACCCGGUGAUCUAGCCAUGGGCAGGUUGAAGGUUGGGUAACACUAACUGGAGGACCGAACCGACUAAUGUUGAAAAAUUAGCGGAUGACUUGUGGCUGGGGGUGAAAGGCCAAUCAAACCGGGAGAUAGCUGGUUCUCCCCGAAAGCUAUUUAGGUAGCGCCUCGUGAAUUCAUCUCCGGGGGUAGAGCACUGUUUCGGCAAGGGGGUCAUCCCGACUUACCAACCCGAUGCAAACUGCGAAUACCGGAGAAUGUUAUCACGGGAGACACACGGCGGGUGCUAACGUCCGUCGUGAAGAGGGAAACAACCCAGACCGCCAGCUAAGGUCCCAAAGUCAUGGUUAAGUGGGAAACGAUGUGGGAAGGCCCAGACAGCCAGGAUGUUGGCUUAGAAGCAGCCAUCAUUUAAAGAAAGCGUAAUAGCUCACUGGUCGAGUCGGCCUGCGCGGAAGAUGUAACGGGGCUAAACCAUGCACCGAAGCUGCGGCAGCGACACUAUGUGUUGUUGGGUAGGGGAGCGUUCUGUAAGCCUGUGAAGGUGGCCUGUGAGGGUUGCUGGAGGUAUCAGAAGUGCGAAUGCUGACAUAAGUAACGAUAAAGCGGGUGAAAAGCCCGCUCGCCGGAAGACCAAGGGUUCCUGUCCAACGUUAAUCGGGGCAGGGUGAGUCGACCCCUAAGGCGAGGCCGAAAGGCGUAGUCGAUGGGAAACAGGUUAAUAUUCCUGUACUUGGUGUUACUGCGAAGGGGGGACGGAGAAGGCUAUGUUGGCCGGGCGACGGUUGUCCCGGUUUAAGCGUGUAGGCUGGUUUUCCAGGCAAAUCCGGAAAACCAAGGCUGAGGCGUGAUGACGAGGCACUACGGUGCUGAAGCGACAAAUGCCCUGCUUCCAGGAAAAGCCUCUAAGCAUCAGGUAACAUCAAAUCGUACCCCAAACCGACACAGGUGGUCAGGUAGAGAAUACCAAGGCGCUUGAGAGAACUCGGGUGAAGGAACUAGGCAAAAUGGUGCCGUAACUUCGGGAGAAGGCACGCUGAUAUGUAGGUGAAGCGACUUGCUCGUGGAGCUGAAAUCAGUCGAAGAUACCAGCUGGCUGCAACUGUUUAUUAAAAACACAGCACUGUGCAAACACGAAAGUGGACGUAUACGGUGUGACGCCUGCCCGGUGCCGGAAGGUUAAUUGAUGGGGUUAGCGGUAACGCGAAGCUCUUGAUCGAAGCCCCGGUAAACGGCGGCCGUAACUAUAACGGUCCUAAGGUAGCGAAAUUCCUUGUCGGGUAAGUUCCGACCUGCACGAAUGGCGUAAUGAUGGCCAGGCUGUCUCCACCCGAGACUCAGUGAAAUUGAACUCGCUGUGAAGAUGCAGUGUACCCGCGGCAAGACGGAAAGACCCCGUGAACCUUUACUAUAGCUUGACACUGAACAUUGAGCCUUGAUGUGUAGGAUAGGUGGGAGGCUUUGAAGUGUGGACGCCAGUCUGCAUGGAGCCGACCUUGAAAUACCACCCUUUAAUGUUUGAUGUUCUAACGUUGGCCCGUAAUCCGGGUUGCGGACAGUGUCUGGUGGGUAGUUUGACUGGGGCGGUCUCCUCCUAAAGAGUAACGGAGGAGCACGAAGGUUGGCUAAUCCUGGUCGGACAUCAGGAGGUUAGUGCAAUGGCAUAAGCCAGCUUGACUGCGAGCGUGACGGCGCGAGCAGGUGCGAAAGCAGGUCAUAGUGAUCCGGUGGUUCUGAAUGGAAGGGCCAUCGCUCAACGGAUAAAAGGUACUCCGGGGAUAACAGGCUGAUACCGCCCAAGAGUUCAUAUCGACGGCGGUGUUUGGCACCUCGAUGUCGGCUCAUCACAUCCUGGGGCUGAAGUAGGUCCCAAGGGUAUGGCUGUUCGCCAUUUAAAGUGGUACGCGAGCUGGGUUUAGAACGUCGUGAGACAGUUCGGUCCCUAUCUGCCGUGGGCGCUGGAGAACUGAGGGGGGCUGCUCCUAGUACGAGAGGACCGGAGUGGACGCAUCACUGGUGUUCGGGUUGUCAUGCCAAUGGCACUGCCCGGUAGCUAAAUGCGGAAGAGAUAAGUGCUGAAAGCAUCUAAGCACGAAACUUGCCCCGAGAUGAGUUCUCCCUGAGACUUAGAGUCUCCUGAAGGAACGUUGAAGACGACGACGUUGAUAGGCCGGGUGUGUAAGCG